GAUGAACGCUAGCGGCAGGCUUAAUACAUGCAAGUCGUGGGGCAGCAGGACUGUAGCAAUACAGUUGCUGGCGACCGGCAAACGGGUGCGGAACACGUACGCAAUCUACCCAGAACUGGUGAAUAGCCCUCCGAAAGGAGGAUUAAUACACCGUAAUAUUAUAAAGUGGCAUCACUUAAUAAUUAAAGCUCCGGCGGUUUUGGAUGAGCGUGCGGCCCAUUAGGUAGUUGGUUGGGGUAAUGGCUCACCAAGCCUGCGAUGGGUAACUGGUGUGAGAGCACGACCAGUCACACGGGCACUGAGACACGGGCCCGACUCCUACGGGAGGCAGCAGUAAGGAAUAUUGGUCAAUGGACGCAAGUCUGAACCAGCCAUGCCGCGUGGAGGAUGAAGGCCCUCUGGGUUGUAAACUUCUUUUAUGGGGGACGAAAUCACUUAUUCUUAAGUGUCUGACGGUACCCCAGGAAUAAGCACCGGCUAACUCCGUGCCAGCAGCCGCGGUAA
This 504-nucleotide ribosomal RNA is filed under the name uncultured bacterium. RNAcentral's name for it is "partial 16S ribosomal RNA". It matches the Rfam family "Bacterial small subunit ribosomal RNA", at positions 28 to 523 of the family's 1533-position model. The record is from RNAcentral.